Molecule: ribosomal RNA, 443 nt
Filed under: uncultured bacterium
Lineage: Bacteria
Description: partial 16S ribosomal RNA
Rfam family: Bacterial small subunit ribosomal RNA
Source: RNAcentral
CCUACGGGAGGCUGCAGUGGGGAAUAUUGGGCAAUGGGCGCAAGCCUGAACCAGCAACGCCGCGUGAAGGAAGAAGGCUUUCGGGUUGUAAACUUCUUUUAUCAGGGACGAAACAAGUGACGGUACCUGAUGAAUAAGCCACGGCUAACUACGUGCCAGCAGCCGCGGUAAUACGUAGGUGGCAAGCGUUAUCCGGAUUUACGGGGUGUAAAGGGCGUGUAGGCGGGAGUGCAAGUCAGAUGUGAAAACGAUGGGCUCAACCCAUAGCCUGCAGUUGAAACUGUACGUCUUGAGUGCUGGAGAGGCAAGCGGAAUGCCGGGUGUAGCGGUGAAAUGCGUAGAUAUACGGAGGAACACCAGUGGCGAAGGCAGAUUGCUGGACAGUAACUGACGCUGAGGCGCGAAAGCGUGGGGAGCAAACAGGAUUAGAUACCCCAGUAGUC